AUUUUUCAGAAAAUGGAGCAACCAUAUUUACAGUUGGUGCACAACAUUCCUUGUUUCCAUUUACAUUGAUGAAGGCUCGUGUGAACAAUGAGGCCAAAAUAGGUGGGCUUAUUCGGUUUGAAGUGUGGGAAAAGCUCCUGGUAGCAAUCACUGGAGAGGUGGAUUUUAGGGCCUCAAACAACAAAAUUUCUCAGGUUGGAAUGUCUAUGGCUUUCAGUCUCUAAAGCAGACUCACGUGAGAAUAAAUACUGUCAUUUUGAGAUUAUAUGGCAGCCUCUGCUCCAACAAGAUUUUAUAUAUAGGUUAUUAUUUUCCGUAUUCCUCUAUUAAUACGACAAAUAAUGGGGAAAGUGAUCAGUGGAAUACAACAUACAGAAUACAAAUAUGAGAAGGGCACCUUGGCUGGCUCUUUUGAUGCAUAGAACAGUAUGAUCUUUGAUGAGAUGUUGGAAAUUUUACUUUCCCAGAGACACUGAGGAGAGUUUGUGUUGGAAACAAGAAAAUAUGCAAAACGCUGUCGGUUCACGCCAGUGCCAACAGAUUCGUCUUGUAGAAUUCUCAUCUGAGUUAAACCAGAAGCUUUGGACUUGAAAAUUGAACUGAGAUUGGAGCUUCCUACUUAAAACUAGGGAUGAGUAUUAUUUUCCUUUUUAUUUAAAUGGAAUCAAUCAGUUUAUUACUAUUACUAAAAUGUUACAUAAUUG
Molecule: unclassified non-coding RNA, 704 nt
Filed under: Hevea brasiliensis (rubber tree)
Lineage: Eukaryota; Viridiplantae; Streptophyta; Magnoliopsida; Malpighiales; Euphorbiaceae
Source: RNAcentral